GUGCCAGCCGCCGCGGUAAUACCGACAGCACGAGUGAUGGCCGAUAUUAUUGGGCCUAAAGCGUCCGUAGCUGGCUGCGCAAGUCCGUCGGGAAAUCCACUCGCCCAACGAGUGGGCGUCCGACGGAAACUGCACAGCUUGGGACCGGAAGGCUCGAAGGGUACGUUCGGGGUAGGAGUGAAAUCCCAUAAUCCCGCACGGACCACCGAUGGCGAAAGCACUUCGAGAAAACGGAUCCGACAGUGAGGGACGAAAGCUCGGGUCUCAAACCGGAUUAGAAACCCUUGUAGUCC
This 293-nucleotide ribosomal RNA is filed under the name uncultured bacterium. RNAcentral describes it as "partial 16S ribosomal RNA". It matches the Rfam family "Archaeal small subunit ribosomal RNA", at positions 455 to 747 of the family's 1478-position model. The record is from RNAcentral.